AUAACUUCAGCAUACGGGGCUGAAGUAGCAAAGACAAUCACGCAAAACUUCAGUAUUUUAGUAGCCGGACUUGAAAUUCACCUCUAGAAUGAAGUUUUUGUUUUAUAACUGGUGAACUACAGAAAGUAACCAAUCGUAGAAAGCAGCUAUUACUCUAAGACGAUUGGACCUAAAAUCUCUUAGUCCUACCUGUUGCAUAAGCAUACGUAUACUUACAUCUCCUCGUCGAGACACCACAUUUGCCUUUA
Molecule: long non-coding RNA, 248 nt
Filed under: Nicotiana benthamiana
Lineage: Eukaryota; Viridiplantae; Streptophyta; Magnoliopsida; Solanales; Solanaceae
Description: long non-coding RNA (NBEN_LNC038765)
Source: RNAcentral